UAUUAUUUUUUCAAUGCUUUUGGGAAAUGACAAGGAUCACUUCUUCAUUAUAGACUUGCUGUGUUCCAACUCCCAUUGAAGAUUGAAAAAGCCCUUUUCCCCACAACAACCCAGUGAGGGAAGGAGUGCAGCGGCCCAUCAUCCCUUUUUUAUAGAAGAGGAACUGAGGCUCAGACAGCCACACCUGGCCCUCAACUCCCAUUUCUCCUUCUGGUUCUGAGCCCUGAGUUAUCCCUGUCAUGCAUGGAUGCAGACAUAGUGCCAAUGGCUGACUCACCAGGAAGGCCUG
Molecule: long non-coding RNA, 289 nt
Filed under: Monodelphis domestica (gray short-tailed opossum)
Lineage: Eukaryota; Metazoa; Chordata; Mammalia; Didelphimorphia; Didelphidae
Description: lncRNA (ENSMODG00000037902.1)
Source: RNAcentral